Molecule: long non-coding RNA, 242 nt
Filed under: Fukomys damarensis (Damara mole-rat)
Lineage: Eukaryota; Metazoa; Chordata; Mammalia; Rodentia; Bathyergidae
Description: lncRNA (ENSFDAG00000027924.1)
Source: RNAcentral
CAAAAAGACGAAUAAUACACACUUGAACUCAAAGUAAUAGGGGAAAGGGUCAAGAACAAUCACUUCUGCUUGUGGAGGAAUACUGCCAACCAGGAUGCCAAACAGCGGAUGACACUUUCCUUUAUGGCAUAAAAUGAGUGGGAUCUUAUAAUCUAUCGUCAGUGUUUCUCGAUCCAUUCUCAGUACACCCCAAGGGAGAUUUCACACUGGCUACAAAGUAAGAAAUGACAACAAUAACAACC